AAAAUCCGUUGGCUUUAUUGACCGUGAGGGUUCAAGUCCCUCUACC
RNAcentral lists this transfer RNA (46 nucleotides) under Ceratodon purpureus. RNAcentral's name for it is "partial tRNA-Leu". RNAcentral also lists the same sequence under 5 other names. The record is from RNAcentral. Lineage: Eukaryota; Viridiplantae; Streptophyta; Bryopsida; Pseudoditrichales; Ditrichaceae.